UUCUGAGCAGGCCUAGGUGUGGUAAGUAGAGCUCGCCACAGAGGAUCGCGCCAAAAUAUCCAUCCCCUUUUUGAGAAGCUCGGCUUUCCUCUGAAGAAAGGGGGCUUCAAUGGGUGGGGAGAGAUGUAAUUUCGGGUCAAAGAGGGGCUUCGGCAGAGCAGAGAUUAAAAAAGAAAGAGGAUUGCUUAGGGAGGGAAGCGCCAGAAAUUGGGUUAAAUCCUAAUAUUCAAACGUUCCAGAUAAAGAUAGUAGCAGAAACGAGGAUGAAUGAAGCAUGUAGUGGCACUUAGCAAAGUGCAUGAUGAGUUAUAUGAUCAGUUGAACGUAUGUUAUGUUGCUCAUGUAUUUAAGUUCUACUACUUCGAAUUCUAAAUGUUUGAGAAAUGAUGAUGUAAAACCCUAUUUAGGGUUAAUGUUAGUUGAGAACUUAUGAUUAAGUCAUGUUGAGAAAUUUAUGUUCUCGUGA
Diospyros lotus (date-plum) is the source of this 466-nucleotide long non-coding RNA. RefSeq lists it as uncharacterized. The record is from RefSeq and is a predicted model, not a curated record. NCBI's taxonomy places the organism in Eukaryota, Viridiplantae, Streptophyta, Magnoliopsida, Ericales, Ebenaceae. The transcript has 2 exons.